GUUAGGACCGUGUGGGGCGGGUGUUUGGUUUGCAUUUAAUGACUUUGCUUGUCUUUUUAUCAACAACACACCUCUCCUUCUACUACCCUCACUCAUACACUCACACAUAUCACGUUAUUCAUCAUUUUCACACACUCUCUUUCAAAUAUUACUAUCAUAGUCAUACAUCUAAAAAUUAGAGAGAAAGAACUUUAUAUAUGUUGUAGGAAGUAAUUUGAUUUGAGGGGAAUGUUGUUUGGCUCGAAGCCACCCGGAAUCUUCAAUCUUGAUUAUUGAUUGUAGAAUCCGGGUGCCGUCGGACCAGGCUUCAUUCCCCUCAAUUGUACUUCUUGUCAUAGAAACACCUAUAUAUUAUCCUGUUUCAUGAUAAGAUUUAAUAUUUGAUAGAUGAAGGAGAAGCUAGCUAGAUUGGUGUAAUGAUGAAGAAUAAUGCUUUGAUCUCUAGCUUUAUGUGAAAUACACAGAAACAGGAAUUAGGAUAUAUGCUACUUUAGAAAGGUGAUUUAAUCAUUGCUAUUCGAAACAGUUUCCAAAUUUAAUUGAAAACUUUUUUUUUUGUUGUUGUUGUUGAGUGAGUAUUUAUUGAUUACAUAUUGUCAGUCUUUUAGUAAACCAGUUAUAAUGAUGGUUGCAAGAAUGUGCUAUGUCUGUAUCUGCUCUUAUUAUUUACCCUUGGCUACUUUUAGCAUUGAUGCUAUUAUUGACUUUAGUAUCACUCUUCCCUCAUCAUUACCUUAUGAUUCUCACAUGAUCAUUUUUUCAUCUUUCAUUCACUCUAGGGUUUGAUUUUGCAUGAUAUGUUAUAUUUGUACAAUAAUGCUUCUACUUUUUUCUUAAUUUUCUUCUUCGAUCUUGAUGUAUUUGUUUUCUAAUUAAAGGAUUGGAUACCGCUGUUGUUGUUAUAUGCGUUUCUGUGUGUUGCUGUAUGGUUGAAUUAGUUGUCUUACAAUACUGCUGCUAUACAUACAUACAUGAAGGCUAGAAUGAUACAUUACGGAGCAUUAAUUUAUUACAAUAGACUACUGAUCGAUCGAUUGAUUUGAUUGCCAUAGAUGAUGUUCAUCUAAUGUACCCUCACUAUUUAUGGUGGAAUAAUUCUGCAAUAGAUAUAUUUUAUUAAAUUAUUUAUCUAAGUACUAAUUAUAAUCUGUUCAUUUUUUAUUUUUAAACUUGAAUAAAAAGUUUGUGGUUAGUUAUGGUUUUGAUAAGAUAGGUUGCUGGCAAACUGAAGUUGGGUCAGAUUAUAAAGAGCUUCAUCCCGGAGAAAACAAAAAGCUUUCAACGAAACUUGAUCUGCAUACGAGGCUUAAUUUCAAUUGAAACUGGUCAUUUAAAUACAAUCUCUGAUUAUUGCAAAUUGUAAUUUACAACAAUUUAAUGAAUGAGAUGUUAGAUCGGAUAAUGUAGCAUACAGGAUAAGUAAUUAGUUUGUCAAGUAGAUAAAUGACAUGAAUGGCCUUUUAAAAACGUGUCAAUAGAUAUGAUCCAAACGAGCUGGUUGUUCUCGUGACUAAGUAA
Long non-coding RNA from Erigeron canadensis, 1518 nucleotides. RefSeq lists it as uncharacterized. Lineage: Eukaryota; Viridiplantae; Streptophyta; Magnoliopsida; Asterales; Asteraceae. The record is from RefSeq and is a predicted model, not a curated record. The transcript is spliced from 2 exons.